Molecule: regulatory RNA element, 59 nt
Organism: Brachybacterium nesterenkovii
Lineage: Bacteria; Bacillati; Actinomycetota; Actinomycetes; Micrococcales; Dermabacteraceae
Rfam family: msiK RNA
Source: Rfam
GCGUCUCCCGCUUCACAACGGAUCGUCCGGCACGUACCUGCCGGUGAAGGGAAUCGGUC